GAGGGUAUAGCACAAAUGGUAGAGUGAAUGCUUAGCAUGCACGAGGCCCUGGGUUCAAUUCCCAGUACCUCCA
Molecule: transfer RNA, 73 nt
Filed under: Camelus dromedarius (Arabian camel)
Lineage: Eukaryota; Metazoa; Chordata; Mammalia; Artiodactyla; Camelidae
Also listed under: 1 other name
Rfam family: tRNA
About the family: Transfer RNA (tRNA) molecules are approximately 80 nucleotides in length.
Source: Rfam by way of RNAcentral